RNAcentral lists this ribosomal RNA (688 nucleotides) under Priestia megaterium. RNAcentral describes it as "bacterial SSU rRNA". It matches the Rfam family "Bacterial small subunit ribosomal RNA", at positions 54 to 722 of the family's 1533-position model. Lineage: Bacteria; Bacillati; Bacillota; Bacilli; Caryophanales; Bacillaceae. The record is from RNAcentral.
CAUGCAAGUCGUAACAAGGUGAGCUAGUAGCUUGCUUCUAUGACGUUAGCGGCGGACGGGUGAGUAACACGUGGGCAACCUGCCUGUAAGACUGGGAUAACUUCGGGAAACCGAAGCUAAUACCGGAUAGGAUCUUCUCCUUCAUGGGAGAUGAUUGAAAGAUGGUUUCGGCUAUCACUUACAGAUGGGCCCGCGGUGCAUUAGCUAGUUGGUGAGGUAACGGCUCACCAAGGCAACGAUGCAUAGCCGACCUGAGAGGGUGAUCGGCCACACUGGGACUGAGACACGGCCCAGACUCCUACGGGAGGCAGCAGUAGGGAAUCUUCCGCAAUGGACGAAAGUCUGACGGAGCAACGCCGCGUGAGUGAUGAAGGCUUUCGGGUCGUAAAACUCUGUUGUUAGGGAAGAACAAGUACGAGAGUAACUGCUCGUACCUUGACGGUACCUAACCAGAAAGCCACGGCUAACUACGUGCCAGCAGCCGCGGUAAUACGUAGGUGGCAAGCGUUAUCCGGAAUUAUUGGGCGUAAAGCGCGCGCAGGCGGUUUCUUAAGUCUGAUGUGAAAGCCCACGGCUCAACCGUGGAGGGUCAUUGGAAACUGGGGAACUUGAGUGCAGAAGAGAAAAGCGGAAUUCCACGUGUAGCGUGAAAUGCGUAGAGAUGUGGAGGGAACACCAGUGCGAAGCG